UACUGCUAGGGGGGCCUAUGGCUGAGAGGAUUCGUUCCGACCCUUUGAACCUGAUUCGGUUAAGACCGGCGGAGGGAAGCAU
This 82-nucleotide non-coding RNA is filed under the name uncultured Phascolarctobacterium sp. RNAcentral's name for it is "TPP riboswitch (THI element)". It matches the Rfam family "TPP riboswitch aptamer (THI element)", at positions 7 to 92 of the family's 105-position model. From Rfam's summary of the family: Vitamin B(1) in its active form thiamin pyrophosphate (TPP) is an essential coenzyme that is synthesised by coupling of pyrimidine and thiazole moieties in bacteria. Lineage: Bacteria; Bacillati; Bacillota; Negativicutes; Acidaminococcales; Acidaminococcaceae. The record is from RNAcentral.